This 370-nucleotide RNase P RNA is filed under the name Butyrivibrio sp. CAG:318. RNAcentral's name for it is "Bacterial RNase P class A". It matches the Rfam family "Bacterial RNase P class A". From Rfam's summary of the family: Ribonuclease P (RNase P) is a ubiquitous endoribonuclease, found in archaea, bacteria and eukarya as well as chloroplasts and mitochondria. Its best characterised activity is the generation of mature 5'-ends of tRNAs by cleaving the 5'-leader elements of precursor-tRNAs. Cellular RNase Ps are ribonucleoproteins. The record is from Rfam by way of RNAcentral. Lineage: Bacteria; Bacillati; Bacillota; Clostridia; Lachnospirales; Lachnospiraceae.
UCAGUGGGCCGGAUGGUCGCGGCUGCAAUUAUGCAGGUGAGGAAAGUCCGGGCUUCAUAGGGCAGGAUGCCGGAUAACGUCCGGUGGAGGUGACUCCAAGGCCAGUGCAACAGAAAUAUACCGCCGGUUUUAUUAACCACAGAAAUAUACCGCCGGUUAUAUCAACCGGUAAGGGUGGAAGGGCAGCUUAAGAGACUACCGCUUCUGCGGUAACGCAGAAGGCACAUGUAAACCCCAUCCGAAGCAAGACCAAACAGAAGCGAUGACGCGGCCCGCCAGCUUCAGGUAGGUUGCUUGAGCCUGCCGGUAACGGCAGGACUAGAUAGAUGACCAUUCAAGACAUAACCCGGCUUACAGGUCCACUGGUUUA